CUUUCUCUUUCUCUUUCUCUUUCUUUUCCUUCUUCAAAUCUGUAACAACCACAACUUCGCCAUUUUCAGUUGAGCACCCACGAAGCAAAGCUUUCUCAACAAUUUUCAAGCUGAGAUCUUCAUUAGCUUCAACAUCAUCAUCUUCAUCUUCUUCUUUCCUUUUCUUACUCCGCACUCUCUUAGAUUUCUUCAUUUUUACCUCUGCUAAUUCCUCUACCUCCAUAACUUCUGAUUUUGAUGAUUUCUUCUCCUUCUUCUCUCGCUUACCCAUUGUUUUACAGUGAAAUUCCAAUCGAUUUGGUUAGGG
This 307-nucleotide unclassified non-coding RNA is filed under the name Hevea brasiliensis (rubber tree). Lineage: Eukaryota; Viridiplantae; Streptophyta; Magnoliopsida; Malpighiales; Euphorbiaceae. The record is from RNAcentral.